UGACGACCGGCGCACGGGUGCGUAACGCGUAUGCAACCUACCUUCUACAGGGGGAUAGUCAAUAGAAAUGUUGAAUAAUACCCCAUACGAUCUUUGAAUAGCAUUAUUUAAAGAAGAAAGUUCCGGCGGUAGAAGAUGGGCAUGCGUCCUAUUAGUUAGUUGGUGAGGUAACGGCUCACCAAGACUUCGAUGUCUAGGGGUUCUGAGAGGAUUAUCCCCCACACUGGUACUGAGACACGGCCCAGACUCC
RNAcentral lists this ribosomal RNA (250 nucleotides) under uncultured bacterium. RNAcentral's name for it is "partial 16S ribosomal RNA". It matches the Rfam family "Bacterial small subunit ribosomal RNA", at positions 89 to 339 of the family's 1533-position model. The record is from RNAcentral.